GAUGAAGAACGUAGCGAAAUGCGAUAGUAAUGUGAAUUGCAGAAUUCAGUGAAUCAUCGAAUCUUUGAACGCACAUUGCGCCCAUUAGUAUUCUAGUGGGCAUGCCUGUUCGAGCGUCAUUAAGUCCACUUAAGCCCUGCUUAGUGUUGGGAGACUGCUCCAGCGGUGCUACCCUGUAGCUACCCUGCAGCUCCUCAAAGACAGCGGCGGAGUUGUGGUAUCCUCUGAGCUUAGUAACUUGUUCUAGCUUUCGAGUACACCACUUCCCCUGCCGUAAAACCCUUAAUUUUUAAUGGUUGACCUCGGAUCAGGUAGGAAUACCCGCUGAACUUAAGCAUAUCAAUAAGCGGAGGA
This 354-nucleotide unclassified non-coding RNA is filed under the name soil metagenome. RNAcentral describes it as "partial contains 5.8S ribosomal RNA, internal transcribed spacer 2, and large subunit ribosomal RNA". The stretch from base 1 to 119 matches the Rfam family "5.8S ribosomal RNA", at positions 35 to 154 of the family's 154-position model. The record is from RNAcentral.